AAACCGUGUUGUGGGCAUGAAUUGACAAAAUCUUUGAACCGCUCCCAACAUUGGAAGAAUGAUUCAUCUUCCCUUUGAACGAAGUUCAUGAUCGAUUUUCUAGGGGU
Small nucleolar RNA from Magnolia sinica, 107 nucleotides. The record is from RefSeq and is a predicted model, not a curated record. Lineage: Eukaryota; Viridiplantae; Streptophyta; Magnoliopsida; Magnoliales; Magnoliaceae.